Molecule: non-coding RNA, 352 nt
Organism: Rattus norvegicus (Norway rat)
Lineage: Eukaryota; Metazoa; Chordata; Mammalia; Rodentia; Muridae
Source: RefSeq, a predicted model, not a curated record
AGCACACAGGGAGUCCUGAGCUUCAUCCUCAGCACCACAUAGUAGAUAUUGUGGUACCCACCUAUAAACCAGGAAUCCCAGUAUAUGGGAGGUAGAGGUAGGAGGAUCAGAAGUUCAAGGCCAUCCUCAGCUACAUAAGGUCAUGUUGCCAGAGACAUUUGGGAUGAUGAUGAUGACGACGACGACGACGGCGGCGGCGGCGGCGGCGGCGGCGAUGAUGAUGAUGAUGAUGAUGAUUAUUUCAUCUUGCUCAUUUAUCUCCCAAAAGAACCUAUAUCAAUGAAAACGAAGUCCCAUUCUCAUGUAUUUAAAAGAAAAAUAAACCCAGGGAAACUUCCCUCCCCUUCCCAAA